UAUCUAUAGAUGGCCUAGGUGGCCACGGGUUUUCAUACGAGGCCAGCCUACAAAGGUAGAAAAAAAAUAAAUAAAAAACUUACGGUUAGGAAGACUAUCAGUGUAUAUUUAACGAUUUUGUCAACGAAUACUUUUGACGAUCAUCACUGAAAUUAAUCUAUUUCAAUUGCAUUAGCUUACUAUAUUUUAUACGAUCUCAUAAAAUCUAUCAGAAUGUCCGGACGAGAAGGUGGCAAAAAAAAACCACUAAAGGCUCCUAAAAAAGAAAGCAAAGAAUUGGAUGACGACGAUCUCGCAUUUAAGCAAAAACAAAAGGAACAACAGAAAGCUUUAGCAGAAGCUGCAAAAAAGGCUGGCCAAAAAGGGCCUUUGGUCACUGGAGGAAUAAAAAAAUCCGGCAAGAAAUAGUAAUAAUUGUUUAAAUAUUUAUUUAAUGAAAAUUCCAUCGAUACUAUACAUUAUACUUAAGUAAUGAGUUAAUAAAAUUUAAUAUUAAAACUUAA
This is a long non-coding RNA of Microplitis demolitor, 503 nucleotides long. RefSeq annotates it as translation machinery-associated protein 7 homolog. The transcript is spliced from 2 exons. The record is from RefSeq and is a predicted model, not a curated record. Lineage: Eukaryota; Metazoa; Arthropoda; Insecta; Hymenoptera; Braconidae.